GAUGAACGCUGGCGGCGUGCCUAAUACAUGCAAGUCGAGCGAACAGACGAGGAGCUUGCUCCUCUGACGUUAGCGGCGGACGGGUGAGUAACACGUGGAUAACCUACCUAUAAGACUGGGAUAACUUCGGGAAACCGGAGCUAAUACCGGAUAAUAUAUUGAACCGCAUGGUUCAAUAGUGAAAGACGGUUUUGCUGUCACUUAUAGAUGGAUCCGCGCCGCAUUAGCUAGUUGGUAAGGUAACGGCUUACCAAGGCAACGAUGCGUAGCCGACCUGAGGGGGUGGUGGGCCACACUGGAAGGGAGGCGAGGCGCAGACUCCUACGGGAGGAAGCAGUAGGGAAGGUUAGGGAAUGGGGGAAGGCCGGAUGGAGCAACGCCGGGGGGGUGAUGAAGGUCUUCGGAUCGUAGAACUCUGUUAUCGGGGAAGAAGAAAGGUGUAAGUAACUAUGCGGGGUUGGACGGUACCUAAUCAGAAAGCGACGGCUAACUACGUG
This 497-nucleotide ribosomal RNA is filed under the name uncultured bacterium. RNAcentral describes it as "partial 16S ribosomal RNA". It matches the Rfam family "Bacterial small subunit ribosomal RNA", at positions 28 to 507 of the family's 1533-position model. The record is from RNAcentral.